Molecule: ribosomal RNA, 921 nt
Filed under: uncultured Bacteroidota bacterium
Lineage: Bacteria; Pseudomonadati; Bacteroidota
Description: bacterial SSU rRNA
Rfam family: Bacterial small subunit ribosomal RNA
Source: RNAcentral
UGGAUCCAGACUUUGAUCAUGGCUCAGGAUGAACGCUAGCGGCAGGCUUAACACAUGCAAGUCGAGGGGCAGCGGGUUUGUAGCAAUACAGAUGCCGGCGACCGGCGGAAGGGUGCGUAACGCGUGAGCAACAUGCCCGUAUCAGGGGGAUAACCCGGAGAAAUCCGGACUAAUACCCCAUAUGACAGAAGGAGGCAUCUUCAUCUGUUGAAAAUUGCGAUGGAUACGGAUUGGCUCGCGUGACAUUAGCUGGAUGGUGAGGUAACGGCUCACCAUGGCAACGAUGUCUAGGGGAACUGAGAGGUUGGUCCCCCACACUGGAACUGAGACACGGUCCAGACUCCUACGGGAGGCAGCAGUGAGGAAUAUUGGACAAUGGGCGGAAGCCUGAUCCAGCCAUGCCGCGUGAAGGAAGACGGCCCUAUGGGUCUUAAACUUCUUUUGUACGGGAGCAAUAAGGGUCACGAGUGGUCCGAUGAGAGUACCGUACGAAUAAGCAUCGGCUAACUCCGUGCCAGCAGCCGCGGUAAUACGGAGGAUGCGAGCGUCAUCCGGAUUCAUUGGGUUUAAAGGGUGCGUAGGCGGCGUGGUAAGUCAGCGGUGAAAUGUACCGGCUCAACCGGUAACGUGCCGUUGAUACUGCCGUGCUGGAAUACUGUUGCCGUGGGAGGAAUGUGUAAUGUAGCGGUGAAAUGCAUAGAUAUUACACAGAACACCGAUUGCGAAGGCAUCUCACGAAGCAGGCAUUGACGCUGAUGCACGAAAGUGCGGGGAUCAAACAGGAUUAGAUACCCUGGUAGUCCGCACAGUAAACGAUGAUAACUAGCUGUAGGCGAUAUAAGGUCUGUGGCCAAGCGAAAGCGAUAAGUUAUCCACCUGGGGAGUACGACCGCAAGGUUGCAACUCAAAGGAAUUGACGGA